GAGCCUCCAGUGACCUGAGCCGCCCAGGGAAUGAGCUGUGUGCGGAGCAGGACCGAUUCAUCGGAGAUGUUCCAGCGCUGGCGUCAGGCUGUAUCCCUUCGCAGCUGUCAGGGUGGGGUCCUUGGCAGAAUGGAUGGGAGACGCCCUGCUUGGCUGACCUCUAAGAGAAAGGAAGCAGAAAACACGAACUCCAUCUUCUCGCUAUUUCUCACAGGUCUGCCUCCUGGCCCAUCCCUCUGUCAGGGCUCCCUCCCUGCCCCCAUCAGAGCUGCCUCAAGGUUGCUCUGAACCCCAGCUCUGAGCUGCAAAUGGACUCUCGGGAAUAAGCCCCUUCACCUGAUGUCCACCUCACCCCCAGGAGUCCUCUGUGCUCCCAGCCCACACAGUCCCCUUCCCUCCCACAGACCUAGAGGUGGUGGCUGCCUCCUGCAAGCUCAUACUGGUGGGGACGAUCCCCAACCUGAUGUCCCCUCCUCUUGCCAGGCAGCACUGGGCCCUUGUCUUCUGCUGUCCCUGAGCUGGGGAUCCAUAUCUCCAUGACUGUCCUUGUCACAUCGUCACUUCGUGGGGCUCGCUUGUCUCUGCCACACCCAGGCAGCCACUUUUGGAGGCUCGGGCUCUAGCCUCCUCGUCUGAGUGUGCC
Molecule: long non-coding RNA, 643 nt
Filed under: Mustela putorius furo (domestic ferret)
Lineage: Eukaryota; Metazoa; Chordata; Mammalia; Carnivora; Mustelidae
Description: lncRNA (ENSMPUG00000028664.1)
Source: RNAcentral